Molecule: ribosomal RNA, 244 nt
Filed under: uncultured bacterium
Lineage: Bacteria
Description: partial small subunit ribosomal RNA
Rfam family: Bacterial small subunit ribosomal RNA
Source: RNAcentral
AGAAUCAACGCUGGCGGCGUGCCUAACACAUGCAAGUCGCACGAGAAAGGGUAGCAAUACCUGAGUACAGUGGCGCACGGGUGAGUAACACGUGAAUAAUCUACCUCCGAGUGGGAAUAACUGAGAGAAAUCUUAGCUAAUACCGCAUAACACUUACGAGUCAAAGCAGCAAUGCGCUUGGAGAGGAGUUCGCGGCAGAUUAGUUAGUUGGCGGGGUAAUGGCCCACCAAGACGAUGAUCUGUA